GUUGUGAAACUGAAAUGGUAUUUGGUUAAACCUCGAUCUUUAAUAAUGAUUUCUCAGGAAAUCUCAUUCCUUAAGUAUUAUUUCUGUUUGCCCAAUUUGUGUAAAGGUAUGACAGACCUGGUAAAGCACAUUUUAGUCUUGUUUAAUUUAUUAAUCAACGUUUUCGGUAGAGUUUACUGUGUUGACACAUUUUCCGCCAAACCGUAGUUCCAUGUUUAGUGCAAGAGUUGUCGUUCUUUUCACAACAAAGAAGUUAUUUCUGAAAUACGGGAUUUAAUUCCGGGUGUGCUUAUUGAAAUAUUGUUAUUAUGGAAUAAAACUACUUAUUGUAUAUAAUUAAUGGUCAUGCAUAUUUGUCAGUGUAAUGAUCGCGUAUACGAGAUCCGCGAAAUGUAAGUAAUUACGGGAAAUAGUCCGUGAUAAUGACAUCUUGGUUGCGAACGUAAACAACUUGGUAAGUUGAAAUUUAACUGUCCCAGAGAUCGGAUGUUUUUCGUUCUCCUAACCUAUUUAUUUCACGUUUGGCAUUGUGAAUUUAUAUAAGAAGUAAAGUUAAGCUAUUUUAGCAUUUAUUUACACAUCUUCAGGUAUUAAUUGUGUAAAGAGACGGUGAAUUCCGUUACACAUUGUAUUUGACGGUGGCGUUUUUGCCGUGAAACUAUUUUAGCCCAACCCUGGCCUAAGUUUGGAAUUGUUCAUUUUAUUAUUGAAACGUAUAUUUAUUGCUAUUUGUUAUUUUUGUCUAAACACUGACAUUAUGCAGGUUCUUUGACUUGGUUUAAAUUGUGUGAAUUAUAUAUUGACUUUGAAGAAUUGAAAUUAAUAUUCCUGCAUAAUAAAUUAUUUUAUUUAGAACUCUUUGUUAAUUUGCAGCCUUGUCUACUAUUCCGCUCGGUAGUUACAUUUUUACAACAUUGGUGGCAGCGGGCUUAUUCAUUCCUCGCGUUGUUUGUAAAAUUUCAUUGAAAUUAUUUUUCUUUGAGCUGCAAAUAUUUUUUUUUUCUAUUAGUAAAAGAUUUUUGAUUUUUUUUUCUUCUGGAUUUUAUAAUCCUAACGAGUUCUGGAAUAUAUAUAACCUUUAAGGUUGUGAAUUCAACAGGUUAUAUAGAUUCAUAUUUUUUGUCAUUGAGUUGAGAAGUCGACAGAUUGUUUAAUAAUAGCCUUUAAAGUUGAGAAGUCAACAGGUUAUUUAUUACUUGAAGUUUGAAGUAUAUAUAUUUUUUUUUGGAAGAGAUUUGAUUUAAAUAUAUUUGACUUUUGAAAUAAGAGCAGUAAAAUCGCUCUUUAGUACAUUGAAAUGUCUGAUACGGGGAAACCUUACGACUUUCGCUCUAGAUCCCUGACCCGUUCUCAACCUUUAAAAGGAGGGAGGGGUAGAGGUAAAUUUGGUUUAAAUGAAAGUAUGAGUACUUAUGAAACAGAAAUGGAGAUUGAGGUAGGUAGUAAUACAAUAGCUAG
Molecule: long non-coding RNA, 1458 nt
Filed under: Mytilus galloprovincialis (Mediterranean mussel)
Lineage: Eukaryota; Metazoa; Mollusca; Bivalvia; Mytilida; Mytilidae
Source: RNAcentral